This 505-nucleotide ribosomal RNA is filed under the name uncultured bacterium. Its description in RNAcentral is "partial 16S ribosomal RNA". It matches the Rfam family "Bacterial small subunit ribosomal RNA", at positions 28 to 507 of the family's 1533-position model. The record is from RNAcentral.
GACGAACGCUGGCGGCGUGCCUAAUACAUGCAAGUAGAACGCACAGUUUAUACCGUAGCUUGCUACACCAUAGACUGUGAGUUGCGAACGGGUGAGUAACGCGUAGGUAACCUGCCUGGUAGCGGGGGAUAACUAUUGGAAACGAUAGCUAAUACCGCAUAAUAUUAAUUAUUGCAUGAUAAUUAAUUGAAAGGUGCAAUUGCACCACUACCAGAUGGACCUGCGUUGUAUUAGCUAGUAGGUGAGGUAACGGCUCACCUAGGCGACGAUACAUAGCCGACCUGAGAGGGUGAUCGGCCACACUGGGACUGAGACACGGCCCAGACUCCUACGGGAGGCAGCAGUAGGGAAUCUUCGGCAAUGGACGAAAGUCUGACCGAGCAACGCCGCGGGAGUGAAGAAGGGUUUCGGAUCGUAAAGCUCUGUUGUAAGAGAAGAACGGGUGUGAGAGUGGAAAGUUCACACUGUGACGGUAUCUUACCAGAAAGGGACGGCUAACUACGUG